Molecule: ribosomal RNA, 707 nt
Filed under: Stenotrophomonas sp.
Lineage: Bacteria; Pseudomonadati; Pseudomonadota; Gammaproteobacteria; Lysobacterales; Lysobacteraceae
Description: bacterial SSU rRNA
Rfam family: Bacterial small subunit ribosomal RNA
Source: RNAcentral
UGCAGUCGACGGCAGCACAGUAAGAGCUUGCUCUUAUGGGUGGCGAGUGGCGGACGGGUGAGGAAUACAUCGGAAUCUACCUUUUCGUGGGGGAUAACGUAGGGAAACUUACGCUAAUACCGCAUACGACCUUCGGGUGAAAGCAGGGGACCUUCGGGCCUUGCGCGGAUAGAUGAGCCGAUGUCGGAUUAGCUAGUUGGCGGGGUAAAGGCCCACCAAGGCGACGAUCCGUAGCUGGUCUGAGAGGAUGAUCAGCCACACUGGAACUGAGACACGGUCCAGACUCCUACGGGAGGCAGCAGUGGGGAAUAUUGGACAAUGGGCGCAAGCCUGAUCCAGCCAUACCGCGUGGGUGAAGAAGGCCUUCGGGUUGUAAAGCCCUUUUGUUGGGAAAGAAAAGCAGUCGAUUAAUACUCGGUUGUUCUGACGGUACCCAAAGAAUAAGCACCGGCUAACUUCGUGCCAGCAGCCGCGGUAAUACGAAGGGUGCAAGCGUUACUCGGAAUUACUGGGCGUAAAGCGUGCGUAGGUGGUUGUUUAAGUCUGUUGUGAAAGCCCUGGGCUCAACCUGGGAAUUGCAGUGGAUACUGGGCGACUAGAGUGUGGUAGAGGGUAGUGGAAUUCCCGGUGUAGCAGUGAAAUGCGUAGAGAUCGGGAGGAACAUCCAUGGCGAAGGCAGCUACCUGGACCAACACUGACACUGAGGC